This 1133-nucleotide ribosomal RNA is filed under the name hydrothermal vent metagenome. Its description in RNAcentral is "bacterial SSU rRNA". It matches the Rfam family "Bacterial small subunit ribosomal RNA", at positions 8 to 1119 of the family's 1533-position model. The record is from RNAcentral.
AGAGUUUGAUCAUGGCUCAGAUUGAACGCUGGCGGUAGGUUUUAUCCAUGCAAGUCGAGCGGUAACAGACAUUUUGAUUCAGCUUGCUGAAUCUAGUGCUGACGAGCGGCGAACUGGUGAGUAACGCGUAGGAAUCUGCCCAGUAGCGGGGGAUAGCCCGAGGAAACUCGGAUUAAUACCGCAUACGCCCUAAGGGGGAAAGGGGGCAUCUUUGAUGCUCUUACUAUUGGAGGAGCCUGCGUAAGAUUAGCUUGUUGGUAGGGUAAAGGCCUACCAAGGCGACGAUCUUUAGCUGGUCUGAGAGGACGAUCAGCCACAUUGGGACUGAGACACGGCCCAGACGUCUACGGACGGCAGCAGGAGAGAAUAUUGGACAAUGAGGGAAACCUUGAUCCAGCCAUACCGCGUGUGUGAAGAAGGCCUUAGGGUUGUAAAGCACUUUAAGCGAUGAAGAAGAAAAGUAAGUUAAUACCUUAUUUUUUUGACGUUACUCGCAGAAUAAGUACCGGCUAACUCCGUGCCAGCAGCCGCGGUAAUACGGAGGGUACAAGCGUUAAUCGGAAUUACUGGGCGUAAAGCGCGCGUAGGCGGUUAAGUAAGUUGGAUGUGAAAGCCCUGGGCUCAACCUAGGAACUGCAUUCAAAACUAUUUAACUAGAGUACGAGAGAGGAGAGUAGAAUUUCUGGUGUAGCGGUGAAAUGCGUAGAUAUCAGAAGGAAUACCAAUGGCGAAGGCAGCUCUCUGGAUCGUCACUGACGCUAAGGUGCGAAAGCGUGGGUAGCAAACAGGAUUAGAUACCCUGGUAGUCCACGCCGUAAACGAUGAGAACUAGCCGUUGGGGAGAAUUAACUCUUCAGUGGCGCAGCUAACGCAUUAAGUUCUCCGCCUGGGGACUACGGCCGCAAGGCUAAAACUCAAAUGAAUUGACGGGGGCCCGCACAAGCGGUGGAUCAUGUGGUUUAAUUCGAUGCAACGCGAAGAACCUUACCUACCCUUGAAAUCCAGCGAAGUUCCUAGAGAUAGGAAUGUGCCUUCGGGAACGCUGUGACAGGUGUUGCAUGGCUGUCGUCAGCUCGUGUCGUGAGAUGUAUGGUUAAGUCCAGUAACGAGCGCAACCCCUAUCCUUAUUUGCC